AUGACUAAGGACUGAAGAGAGAGGGCUUCAGAGUUUUGAGAGAGGAAAAAAAUCCUUUAAAGAUAAUGUUGGAAUGGCACAAUGCUGCGGAAUGCAGGAGGGCCCCCUCAAGCGUGUUAGGCAAAGAGGGGCUUCUUGGGUCACUUCUUGGUCACUUAGAUGAUCUGACAUGUGUGCCUUGGAGUUUGAGGAACAGAGGACUGAGAGGAAAGUCUGUGACUCAGAACAAACAGGGAGUUGGGGGAGAGCAAUAGAGACAAAUAGGUAAGGAGUGUUCCAGUGUGUUCUAUGGGCCAAUGAACCAGCAAGAGGGAGAGCUUCAGAACCGUCUUGAAAGGAACUCUGAGGACAAGAAUUCCCUUGUCUCAUGAAUUACCAUGGUAAAGCUCCAGUGAGGAAAUCUCCAAGAUUCUCCUUGAAACUCAGAUACGCCUACUGAGAGUGAAAGGAAGCACUGAAUAGCCACCAAGCUCAGAAGGCAAGAUCUCCAUAGUACCAAACCCUUUCUCCUCGUUCCUCCUGGGACCACUUCUAAAAGGUUCAGAAACAGCAGCUACUGGGUUGGUGAGGAACUUGUCAGUAAAAAGAAGCCAAUCAAGACCCCCUCACCCACCACUGGCUUUCAGACCCAAAGAAAUGCUGAGCUGGGAUGGAGGGAUAUGCUCCAGAUUGAUACGAAUUUGUAUUUUUUGCUAUUCCACUGGACCAGACAGCUUAAUUACUGAAAUGAGACUGCUCUUAUGACUUAAAUGGAUAAGAACUCUAUGAGAUUCACUCAGAAUUUCACCCCAGAUGAAAAGAACUUGCCCCACACAAGUGUGAAGUAUCAGAGGGAGAAGAAUAAACUUUUUCAUUUUCAUCCUAGCCAGUUAUAAGAUGACUGCAUAUAUUCAGUCUAUUUGCCUUAUUGUAUUUCUAUUUGCUUUUCUGAUUACUUAUUUUGAAUGCAGGCUCUGGCCAUUUGGCAGUGCAGAUUUUCAUUUUGAGCUCUUUCCUCCUCAAGCUCAGAAUAAAAAGGGUAAUUCUGCUUAGCCUGGCAUUUUGCAUAUUUUAGAAACACAAUAUUGUCCAUCUUAGCCCUGGUGCAAGAAGAGAGAAAUUUUAACCCAAUGCAGAAAUGGCUGACGAGGAGCCAAAGGGAUGUUGAACAACUUGCCAGCUUUUUCAGAAAUUGCUCUUUGCAGUGUGGUUUUAUUAUCUGUCUAAAAGAAUUAUAAGUUUUCAGCAUGCCAUGUACAAAUUUCAUUAAAUGCACAUAUCUUGAAGCACAAUGGUGACUAAGGUACCAGAGGAGAAAAUAAAGGAAAACCCAUGAAGAGGAAGAAGGAUGAAAUGUUUAAGAAUGCAGAUCUUACCAUGUGAUAGAAGACCUGUCCCUCAGGAUGCCCCUGAUCUCCUGCCGGCAUCUCUCCUGAUGCUCAGGGUUCAGAGCCAGGUGGUAGAGGAGCCAGGAAAUGCUCCCUGCCAUGGUGUCAUGCCCUGCCAAGAUGAAUGUGUUCACCUCAGACCGUAGCCUAUUCUUCUGGACAGACACAACACAAUUAUGACCGCGUAUGGAUGUGGGCCACCCAAAUGCAAGAAGUACCUGUGUACUGAUGGAGAAUUUUGACCAGCUCCUGUAAGCGAUGGCCCUGAGGGCUGAAUUUGAAAAUUAUGUCAUGGUGAUGUAAGAAACUGUACAAGCGGUAAAAGUUUAUUUUACUGGCUUCAAACGUUGUUUUAACAUAAAGAUCAUGGUUGCUAGGAGAGAAAGAAGGGACAAUAUGUCAAUGAAUGACUUAGAGGAUAGCCAAUAGAUGUCUUUCUUGUUUUCCUGUCACUGACCUGCUUAUCUGGCAGUUGGUCUCCUGGCUGAAAGCGCAUUUCAUCAGUACAUCCAAGGUCAUCAGGUUGAUGUGCUCAAAGACCUCCACAACUGUGUCCUGAGUGCCACAAAUCUUCUCCCACUUACCCUGGCAUAGGAGGUCAAGAUCAACAACAUCAUCAAAAUGCCUUUACCUGAAAGCUCCUCUCUGACUGCUCUUAGGACAUAAGGUAGACAGCCCUGACCUAGAAGGAGCCAUCCAUUAUAUAUGUAAAUUAAUCAAGUGGCAUGAGGAGGGGAAAACUGCACCGAGCUGUGUGAGAAAGAGCAUGGAGCAACCCGGGUUUCUGGAAAAUGGCUGAGUUAAGUAUCUUCGGCCUUUCAGUUAUUAUCAUAACUCUGCUUUACAGCAGAUCAGAGUCCCAGUAAAACAGACCUAUAAUUACAGAGGGUCUCUCCAGGGCUUCUUCCAUCUUCAGUCCCCAAAUUGCUAGACAAUCCACCCUAUCACUACUGCCAACCACCAUAGCCACA
Canis lupus familiaris (dog) is the source of this 2338-nucleotide long non-coding RNA. RefSeq lists it as uncharacterized. The record is from RefSeq and is a predicted model, not a curated record. The transcript has 3 exons. Lineage: Eukaryota; Metazoa; Chordata; Mammalia; Carnivora; Canidae.